GUUGCUUCUUAUGGUGAACUCCCUGUAAAUUUUGUUGGGUUGGGGAUGUUCAAGUUUCCGAAGCAUAGAUCAAAUUGCCAGUAUUAAACAGCACCAUUUUUGCAGACUA
Molecule: non-coding RNA, 109 nt
Filed under: Prunus persica (peach)
Lineage: Eukaryota; Viridiplantae; Streptophyta; Magnoliopsida; Rosales; Rosaceae
Description: snoRNA snoR137
Rfam family: small nucleolar RNA snoR137
Source: Rfam by way of RNAcentral